Molecule: ribosomal RNA, 247 nt
Filed under: uncultured bacterium
Lineage: Bacteria
Description: partial small subunit ribosomal RNA
Rfam family: Bacterial small subunit ribosomal RNA
Source: RNAcentral
AGGACGAACGCUGGCGGCGUGCUUAACACAUGCAAGUCGAGCGAACCUUCGGGUUAGCGGCGAACGGGUGAGUAACACGUGGGCAACCUGCCCCGAGCUCUGGGAUAACUCCGGGAAACCGGGGCUAAUACUGGAUAUGACCCGAGAAGACAUCUUCUCGGGUGGAAAGUUUUUCGGCUCGGGAUGGGCCCGCGGCCUAUCAGCUUGUUGGUGGGGUAACGGCCUACCAAGGCGACGACGGGUAGCC